UACGUAGGGGGCGAGCGUUGUCCGGAUUUAUUGGGCGUAAAGCGCUCGCAGGCGGUCCGAUGCGUCGUGCGUGAAAGCCCCCGGCUCAACUGGGGAGGGUCAUUCGAUACUGUCCGACUCGAAGGCAGGAGAGGGAAGCGGAAUUCCCGGUGUAGUGGUGAAAUUCGUAGAUAUUCGCAAGAACACCAGUGGCGAAGGCGGCUCACUGGCCCGGUACUGACGCUGAGGUGCGAAAGCGUGGGGAGCAAACAGG
RNAcentral lists this ribosomal RNA (253 nucleotides) under uncultured bacterium. RNAcentral describes it as "partial 16S ribosomal RNA". It matches the Rfam family "Bacterial small subunit ribosomal RNA", at positions 524 to 776 of the family's 1533-position model. The record is from RNAcentral.